CGGGGCCCGCCGACGCGCUCACACGGGACGGCGAGAAGGGCAAGCCAGGUAACUUAGAAAGCAGUUACAAACAGGAGGAAAUCUGCAGAUGCCGGAAAUCCAAAGCAACACAUACAAAAUGCCAGAGGAACUCAGCAGGAUGGGGAGUGUCUAUGGAAAAGAGUACAGUCGACGUUUAUGGCCGAGACCCUUCAUCAGGAAUGGAGAAUAAAGAAGAGAAAUGAGACUAAGAAGGUUGGAGGCUACCCAGACGGAAUGAAAGGUGUUGGUCCUCUAACCUGAGUGUGGCCUCGUCAUGGCAGUAGAGGAGGGCACAGACUGACACGUCGGAUUGGGAAAUGGGAAGCGGAAUUAAAAUGAGUGGCCACCGAGAGGUCGCUCCCCUUUGAUCCCCCGCUCAGCUCUCGUCUAUGGCUCCAAGUACCUGCUAUAUGCGACAGCGGCCACACCCUGGUACACUGCCUCGACAGGCCGCUUAAACCAGUACCAUAAGCAGCAUGCAGGCAGCUGAGAGUUUGCUGUUGGACACCGAGACAGAAACAGAAGCGAUCGCAACCACGGUCAAAGACAGACUUUUGUAUCAGCUACGCAAUUUGGAAGGCGACCAGAGGGCUUAUCGUGAAGAGUCUGAACGUACCAUCACAAGGCAAUUAAUGAAACAGCGUCGCACAGAAAAGGACCAGCUGAUGGCGAAUGGAAUAUAAAGCUGACAACAUUGCCUGGCUGGUAUCUUCUGACCGAUGUCCUAACCAAAGUGUGCUAACUUUAAAAGCAAAGGUGAAAAUGGCCGAGCUUUAUUUGUCAAAUGUACAUCGAAACGUAUGGUGAAAUGCGUCAGCAGCCCGAGGCUGCGAUGGGGGCAGGGUGCAGGUAUCACCGUGCUUCCAGCACCAACGUAGCACGCCCGCAAUUUACUAGCAGCGUGUUUCUAGAAUGUGGCCGGAAACCCGAGCACCCAGAGUGGUCGGGGA
This is a long non-coding RNA of Hypanus sabinus (Atlantic stingray), 971 nucleotides long. RefSeq lists it as uncharacterized. The transcript has 5 exons. NCBI's taxonomy places the organism in Eukaryota, Metazoa, Chordata, Chondrichthyes, Myliobatiformes, Dasyatidae. The record is from RefSeq and is a predicted model, not a curated record.